This 504-nucleotide ribosomal RNA is filed under the name uncultured marine eukaryote. RNAcentral's name for it is "bacterial SSU rRNA". It matches the Rfam family "Eukaryotic small subunit ribosomal RNA", at positions 751 to 1246 of the family's 1831-position model. The record is from RNAcentral.
UUUACUUUGAAAAAAUUAGAGUGUUUCAAGCAGGCAAUGGCUCGAAUACAUUAGCAUGGAAUAAUGGAAUAGGACUUUUGUCCAUUUGGUUGGUUAUUGGACAUUAGUAAUGAUUAAUAGGAACAGUCGGGGGCAUUCGUAUUUGACAGCGAGAGGUGAAAUUCUUGGACCUGUCAAAGACGGACUACUGCGAAAGCAUUUGCCAAGGAUGUUUUCAUUGAUCAAGAACGAAAGUUAGGGGAUCGAAGACGAUCAGAUACCGUCCUAGUCUUAACCAUAAACUAUGCCGACUAGGGAUUGGAGGGCCCGUCCAUUAUUUAUUAAAAUAAGGACUCCUUCAGCACCUUAUGAGAAAUCAAAGUCUUUGGGUUCAGGGGGGAGUAUGGUCGCAAGGCUGAAACUUAAAGGAAUUGACGGAAGGGCACCACCAGGAGUGGAGCCUGCGGCUUAAUUUGACUCAACACGGGAAACCUUACCAGGUCCAGACAUAGUAAGGAUUGACAG